GAUGAACGCUAGCUACAGGCUUAACACAUGCAAGUCGAACGGACUUACAUUGAAGCCUAGCGAUAUGUAAGUUAGUGGCGGACGGGUGAGUAACGCGUGGGUAACCUGCCCUGUACUGGGGGACAACAGUUGGAAACGACUGCUAAUACCGCAUAAGCGCACGGGAUCGCAUGAUCUAGUGUGAAAAACUCCGGUGGUACAGGAUGGACCCGCGUCUGAUUAGCUGGUUGGUGAGGUAACGGCCCACCAAGGCAACGAUCAGUAGCCGGCCUGAGAGGGUGAACGGCCACAUUGGGACUGAGACACGGCCCAAACUCCUACGGGAGGCAGCAGUGGGGAAUAUUGCACAAUGGGGGAAACCCUGAUGCAGCGACGCCGCGUGAGUGAAGAAGUAUUCGGUAUGUAAAGCUCUAUCAGCAGGGAAGAAAAUGACGGUACCUGACUAAGAAGCCCCGGCUAACUACGUG
RNAcentral lists this ribosomal RNA (467 nucleotides) under uncultured bacterium. RNAcentral describes it as "bacterial SSU rRNA". It matches the Rfam family "Bacterial small subunit ribosomal RNA", at positions 28 to 507 of the family's 1533-position model. The record is from RNAcentral.